AGCUCUGAUUGUCCAAACGCAAUUCUUGUGAUAUUUUUUACAAGUCAAGGAUUGUAUCUGGACGUCGUUGCUC
RNAcentral lists this microRNA precursor (73 nucleotides) under Mayetiola destructor (Hessian fly). Its description in RNAcentral is "mir-219 microRNA precursor family". It matches the Rfam family "mir-219 microRNA precursor family". Rfam says of the family: The hairpin precursors (represented here) are predicted based on base pairing and cross-species conservation -- their extents are not known. In this case the mature sequence is excised from the 5' arm of the hairpin. The record is from RNAcentral. Lineage: Eukaryota; Metazoa; Arthropoda; Insecta; Diptera; Cecidomyiidae.